Molecule: ribosomal RNA, 468 nt
Filed under: uncultured bacterium
Lineage: Bacteria
Description: partial 16S ribosomal RNA
Rfam family: Bacterial small subunit ribosomal RNA
Source: RNAcentral
GACGAACGCUGGCGGCGUGCUUAACACAUGCAAGUCGAACGGAAAGGCCCUGCUUUUGUGGGGUGCUCGAGUGGCGAACGGGUGAGUAACACGUGAGUAACCUGCCCUUGACUUUGGGAUAACUUCAGGAAACUGGGGCUAAUACCGGAUAGGAGCUCCUGCUGCAUGGUGGGGGUUGGAAAGUUUCGGCGGUUGGGGAUGGACUCGCGGCUUAUCAGCUUGUUGGUGGGGUAGUGGCUUACCCAGGCUUUGACGGGUAGCCGGCCUGUGAGGGUGACCGGCCACAAUGGGACUGAGAGACGGCCCAGACUCCUACGGGAGGCAGCAGUGGGGAAUAUUGCACAAUGGGCGGAAGCCUGAUGCAGCAGCGCCGCGUGCGGGAUGACGGCCUUCGGGUUGUAAACCGCUUUCGCCUGUGACGAAGCGUGAGUGACGGUAAUGGGUAAAGAAGCACCGGCUAACUACGUG